Podarcis lilfordi (Lilford's wall lizard) is the source of this 8478-nucleotide non-coding RNA. The record is from the annotation of a GenBank genome assembly. Lineage: Eukaryota; Metazoa; Chordata; Lepidosauria; Squamata; Lacertidae.
GUGCUGACUUUAUGUGGGUAUUGAGGCAGGGGGAGUUAGGAGAACUGGAGUCGAAGGCUAAAGACAGCCCCUAUUCAUGCAUUAUAGAGGACAACCAACUUAUGCGUGACCAACUAACAUGCGACUGUGCAUGUGUGUAUUGCAUCCACAACACAUUGCUGAAAACAAUUCCCCUGAUAUUUGGGAUGAUGGCAGUUCAAAAAGUACACAGUUUAUGGUGCUUGGAAUUGUGCCGCAAUAUGUUUGAGGUUAGAGGAGUUCAGGGCCUUGAAACCAGGGCUGAAUAUGGAUCCUUUCCAUUAAAAACUAUUGGAUUACACUAUCAUUAGCAACACAUUUUUGCCGCAAAGCCAUUUCCCCGCUAAAGGGAUUGUUUGCAUAAUUGGAUCUUAAGCACGCACGCAGCUGCGCCCAUUGUUAGUAAGUAAAAUGUUUGCACAGGUGAAUACAGUCGUACACAAAGGAGGUACGUGCUAGUCCAUAUCCCAAGGACUGUUUAUUUGCAGGUGGCGGCUGCUCUGGAGCAAGCGAGUUGCAGAUUUCAGGUUCUCUUAAUGGAGUCCCCAGCUGACAAUGCAUGGCCUGCUGGACUCCAACUUCCACCAUCCCUCACCAUUGGACUCUCUGGCUGGGGCUGAUCAUAGAAUCAUAGAACUGUAGAUUUGGAGGGGAACCCAGGGGUCAUCUAGUCCAACCCCGUGCAAUGCAGGAAUCUCAACUAAAGCAUCCAUGGUAGAUGAUGGGAGUUAAGAGUUCAGAACAUCUGGAGGGGGACUAGGUUGCCCACCACAGCACUAUGGAAACUUAUCACUAAAAACUCUUUUAUUAUUUUUGAUCUUGCACGAUAUGCAGGUGAGAUAAAUUAUUCCCAUUUCACAGGUGGGAAAGCUGACGCUAAGCGGAGAAGUGAUUUCCCCGAAGGCAUUCUCUGAACUUACAGCAGAACUGCAGCCCAGACCUGCUUUCCAAGCACACCUGUGCUAGGCAAAUUGCGGAGAGAUGGAUGAUGAAGCUGGUACAUGCAUCAAUUGUGUGAUGCCUUCAGUUUUUCCAAUACUGUGCCUAGGGUUGCCAUGUGUCUGGAAUUUCCCAGACAUACCCGGAACACUGCAGUCGGUAGCAGUGUCCAGGUGGAAACCAGCAAAAAAAAGUUCGACAACUUUGGUCCACGUGACGACGGUCACGCUUGCAAAAAGGCCCAUUUCCCCUCCACACUGAUAAAGUGUCCAUAACAUUGAAUGAGUCCACAGAACUGCUACUAGGUUCAAUACCUGACUCAGUUCUGAGCACCGUUCUAUUGCUACCACCGCUCCAGAAACUCUUGUUUAAAACCCUAGUAGGUCUUAAGCUUAGACACAGCAUCUCUCCACCACUAGGUGUCCUUGGGGGAUAAUGUUCUUUAUAGAAUCUUGCCUUAUUCUCUCUCCUAGUUCUUUAGUUUGGCACGGUUGCUCAAUUAUUUCAAUUCAAGCUUUUGAAGGGGGGGCGGGGGAGGAGAAUGAGAUUCUAAAUUACCAGUAGUAAAUGAUCUAAUGAUAAUAAUGUAGCAGCAGGGAUCACUGCUCUAUAAAUAGUCAAAAUGUGCAACGCAGUUUGCUAUUCUAUUAACAUUCUGCUAAUGUUUCCUAACAUUGCGAACCUCUGAUUGCUUCUUAGGCAGGGGGCUAGGCCUUGCAUUGCUGUCAAGCCUGGCCAAAUGUGUUUUCCUGUCUAUGCCAGGGUCCUCCAGAUGCUCUUUUUUUGUUGUGUGCUCACAGUGGUACUGGAGCAGAUGUAUGUGAUCCUGCUUUCGAUGCUACUAGCAUCUGCAAAAGUUUCAUGGGGGACGUGUUGCUUCUGGCCUCUGCAUGUCCCAUAAGUUCCUGCUGAACCCUUGAAACUUCUUAUAUCACAAAUGUUUUGUGUGUGUGUGUGUGUGAGUGGCCUGCUUUUGUUGCCCUAUAGCACAACAACAACAACAACAACAACAACAACAACAACAAUUUAUGAUUUAUACCUCACCCAUCUGGCUAGGUUUUGCGAGCAAAAUAUUGAAAUACAAUAAUUCAUCAAAUAUUAAAACUCCCCUAAUCAGGGCUGCCUUCAGAUGUCUUCUAAAAGUCAGAUAGUUUUUUAUUUCCUUGACGGGAGGGUGUUCCACAGGGUGGGUGCCACUACUGAGAAGGCCGUGUACCUGGUUCCCUGUAACUUCGCUUCUUGUAGUGAGGGAACCGCCAGAAGGCCCUUGGAGUUGGACCUCAAUGUCCGGGCUGAACGAUGGGGGUGGAGACACGCCUUCAGGGAUACUGGGCUGAGGUCGUUUAGGGCUUUAAAGGUCAGGACCAACACUUUGAAUUGUGCCUGGAAACGUACUGGGAGCCAAUAUAGGUCUUUCAGGACCGGUGUGGUGACAAGAGUGACCCUCCAGACAGCCAUACUACACAGGAACCCAGGGGAGGCAUUGCAGGACAACUAAUACAGUGGUACCUUGGUUCUCGAAUGUAAUAUGUUCCGGAAGACUGUUCAAUAUCCAAAACGUUCAGAAACUGAGGUGCAAAGGACUUGCUGCAAGUUCAACUGGAAAAACUGAAAAAUACAUAGCGAAAGCCGUUCAGCUUUCAGCAUUCAAAAACCGAAACAUUCAGCUUCUGAGACUCUCAAAAACCGAGGUAUAGCAGAAUGAUACAGUAUAAAUCCAACAAUGAUUACUGUGUAAGUUACAUGUUGCAGAAUAUGUCUGCCCCAAAAACCACUAGCUUGGAGUGUUUAUUUUUAAACAAACUAGUGCAGUUUUGUGCUUUUACAAAAUCAUGGGAUCAUAGAAUUGGAGAGUUUGAAGGGACCACAAGGGUAUUGGAUUGGAUUGGAUUGUACUGUAUUUAUUUAAAUUUGUUUACUGCCCUAUACCCACAGGUCUCAGGGUCUCUAUCCAAUCCCCUACAAUGCAGGAAUUGUUUUGCCCCAAGUGGGGCUCAAACCCACAAUCCUGAGAUUCAGAGUCUCAUGCUCUGAAUCUGAUGGAGCCAUAUUGUUCAGUUCAAGUUCAUCCAGAUGAAUGUUUUAAAGGUAAAGGUAAAGGGCCAGUCGUGACCGACUCUGGGGUUGCGCGCCCAUCUCGCUUAAGAGGCCGGGGGCCAGCGCUGUCCGGAGACACUUCCGGGUCACGUGGCCAGCGUGACGAAGCUGCUCUGGCGAGCCUGCACCAGCGCAGCACACGGAAACGCCGUUUACCUUCCUGCUAUGAAGCGGUACCUAUUUAUCUACUUGCAUUUAAGAGUGCUUUCGAACUGCUAGGUUGGCAGGAGCUGGGACCGAGCAAUGGGAGCUCACCCCGCCGUGGGGAUUUGAACCGCCAACCAUACGAUCGGCAAGUCCUAGGCACUGAGGUUUUACCCACAGCGCCACCCGCGUCCCUUGAUGAAUGUUUUAGUUCGUCAUAACUUCAUCCUUGGCCAUUUCCCCCAGCAUUCAGAACAUUUUGCUGAAAUAGAGGUUCCAAAAGUAAAUCACCAACCACACAUGAUGAUGAUGAUAUAUUUAUUUAUACACCGCCUUUUCCUCUGAUGAGACUCAAGGCCACUUAUAGAUAAACUGCUAAAAACAUAGAAGAAUCAACCAUUAAAAUACAAUUAAACAUGGAUAGAACACACACACACACACACACACACACACACACACUUAAAGCAUAGCAAUAAUCACAAUAAAAAUGGUUGACAUUCACAGGUAUACUGCUUCCAUUUGUGUGGGUUCCAUUUAAUUAUCCUGAUACACUAGCCAUGUAUAUACUGAUCCUCAAUGAUAAUCAAAACUGACAGAUCCAUUCAUCCUUACUUGGAGAAUGUGUUCCACUGUGAGAUACAGAUUUGGUACUCACCAGCUGGUGGGUGCAUCUAGCAAGGAAAUAGGUACAGGAUCUUUUAAGUAGAGUAUAGUAACCAAGGAAUUUCCAAGGUUUUACCUGCCCUUGUUUCUCUUUCCCAGCAUGGUCUACAUUGCAGUCUAGAAUUAGCCAGCUCUGGGAUGCUUUUCUUCGCAUUGUGUCUUUACAAUAGACCAUUUCCCGCCUCUCCUGGGAUGCUGCUUAGACAAAUAGGUUAAGUUUGGGAUUCCUUUUCUUGCGAUUUCCCCAAGGUCACGUGAGACAUUGUUCAGCUUUGUGUUUCAGCUCAAGACGGUGACAUAUUAAGAUAAACACUGGACCGCGCUGACAAAGGAUGUUUAUAGCUGUAGCAUGCCCCCGAGAACAGCUAUAGGCAAAACACUGCGAGCCAAAUUUAGCGCUACGUCUCCAGAGAGGCAAAUGUUUCCUGAUUCCUACCACUCAGUAAGCAACUGUAUUUUGCAAUGUAAUGUACAACACGCCAGCAGGCACUAUGGCUCCCCGCUCCACCGGCUGUUAUCACAGGGGACAGAUGACAGUGGAACACAGAGUGAUUGUAAUACAUAAUAAAAGAACCUUUCCUUAGCUGUUAAGAUCAGCAGCCAAAGUGGAGUAUGGCUUCUCUCAACAAUGCAAGGUGGUUUCUCUGUCAUCUAUUAUUGGCCUUUGGUCAACGGGCUAGAUUAGGAUUCUUUUUUCCUUUUUCGGAAAUAAUUUUUAUUUGAUUUUACAAGUGUAGAGUUAUAACAAUACCAAAUAAAUACCCACAUUUAGAGAUUUCUCUGAAUCUCUAGACGUCCCUCCAUCCCCUCCUUGGGUCUUACUGUCAACGUUUUCAACUGCAUAUUAUUUCAUAAUCCAUAUAGUGGUACCUUGGUUUACGAACUUAAUCCGUUCCGGAAGUCCGUUCUUAAACCAAGGUGUGCUUUCCCAUAGCAGUGGGGGACUCAAUUUACAAAUGGAACACACUCAAGAGGAAACGGGACCUGUUCUUAUUCCAAGGCUAAGUUCACAAACCGAAAUACCUACUUCCGGGUUUGCAGCGUUCUUGAUCCAAGUUGUUCAUAAACUAAGCUGUUCUUAAACCAAGGUACCACUGUAUUUUAAAUCUAUAUUGUCCAUAUUACUUGUUACAUUACAAGUGUUAUUAGAAUCCUGCUAAUGUUUCCAUCUGCUUACAGUGGUCUCCUAAAUAAAUUAUAAAUUGUUCCCAUUCUUUCUUAAAGUUUUUGUCUUCUUGGUUCCUGAGCUUUCCGGUCAGUGUUGCAAUUUCAGCAUAGUCCAUCAGCUUGAUUUGCCAUUCCUCUUGGGUCAGGACUAUCUUCUUUCCAUCUCUGGGCUAGUAACAUCCGCACAGCUGUUGUUGCAUACAUAAAAAGUCUUUUCUGGUCCUUUGGAAUAUCUGUACCUACUAGAUUAGGAUUCUUCAUUCGGUGGCAACCGGCCUCUGCCCUUCCAGAAUGUUCAUGAACGAUACAGUAGAAUGUAUACAAAAUGCAUAAACAGGCCUUGGAGAUCUGUGAACAGUUAUCCUGAUGUUUCUAUUUUCACAAAUAUGGGGGCAUGGAGGGGAAAGGGUGAUAAUAGGCUGCUUACCCAGUCUCAGGGUGGGCGGCUGUUGUGGCCCUGCAGCUGCAAGCUCCAUCCCCCAGGGAGCAACACUGGGCUAAGUGGCCAGCAUUUGGGGAAAUCCCCAGGCCAGCUGUGGUGGGCUUUCUGGCCACCCAAUAUUUGAAUUCUGGCCAAUCUUGCCUCACUGCGUGGGUGGGGUUUGGGAGUGGACCAUAGUGGAGCAGGCUUCACUGCAGUCCACCCCCAGCCUAUAAAAGGGUUUCCUGUCCUAAAUCCAAAGUGGCUAUUUAUCCUCACUGGGGGAAAAACAUAUGAAUGCCUCACUGGAAAUGACAACUACAGCUGCCACCAUCCCUGACCGUUGGCUGUCCUGGUUGGCACUGAUGGAAGUCGGAGUCUAACGCCAUCUGCAAGGCCACAGAUCCUCCACCCCAGCUAUAGAUGAGACUGCUUCUCUUGAUUUCUGGAACUUUAUUGGUCUUGUAAGGAAAAGCUUAAUUGUCACUUUCAAUACAGGAGUGUUGAUUACACGUAUGAUCAAGGCUUCGUUUCUAAAAGGAGAGCUAACAGGUUUUGGAGAGGAACACAUGUUAUACAUAAAUAAAACUCCUACACACUUUACUGGCAAGCUAACAAAACAGGCUGUUUGUGGCUGGUAUAAUACCAGGAAGGAACAGAAAGAAAAUAGAAAAGAAGGUCUAAGGCCCCCUCCAGACAUCCUUUCUAUUGCGCAUCCACAAUGAUUUAUCCACAUGACAGUAUCAAGGUGGUCAUGUACAAUGCUACUUUCAAUACUGUUCAAGCCCAUAAAAGUUGGUGUGUGUGUGUGGACAUACAGCCUUCAGCCAGUGAACACCUCAUAAUUUCCUGCUGAAAUCCUGCAACUUUUUAUGCCACGAUUAUGCCAGGUUUUGUUGUCCCACUUUUGUUGAGCUAUAGUGCCAGAGUGCCCCUGCAGAUGGCAAUAAUGCAACAACAUUGCACUAACAUCACAUUAUUGCGUAAAUGACACGUUGGGAAAUACACCUGCAAAAAAACCCCACUAGUCUGAGACCUUAAGGUUGGGAUCCUGCUCCAUUCCAUAAUAGGAAGAGGUUCUUCAAAUUGCUGUACCAGAGAUGAAGGCUCCCUGGAAAUUCCCACACAGAAGUACUUCUUCUAAUCUUAAACAGGAAGGCGGAUUGAUAGUGGUCACUCAGCAGGGCAGGUCUUGCUCUUUACUGCACACUUUAAGACGCUGAACUCUGAAAACACCUCUCACAAAAUAAAGCCCUGGUGUGACUAACAGCCUAUCAAAUGCCACAUAGUUCUUUCCAAUCCAGCCCCAAAUGAACAAACUCACAGAUGACAAAGUAGAGAAGAAGAAAAGAGACUGUCAAAGAAGGAUGGUUAGAAUAUGUCACUGGGCAUAUUCUUUCAUUGAGACAGAAUUUCUUUUGGUUUCUUUUCCAAAGGCUUUCUCCACUUUCGCACUGGAAGAUUCGGAAGAGACAAAAAAAAGUGCUUCUUCACACAGUGCAUAGCUAAACUAUGGAGGUUAUGACGGCCACCAACUUGGAUGGCUUUAAAAGUGGAUUAGAUGAAUUCAUGGAGGAUAUGAUGACCAAUGGCUCCUAGUUAGGAUGGUUAUUUUCAACAUGUUGAAGUCAGUACAGUGGUACCUCUGCUUAAGUACUUAAUUCAUUCCGGAGGUCCGUACUUAACCUGAAACUGUUCUUAACCUGAAGCACCACUUUAGCUAAUGGGGCCUCCUGCUGCUGCCGCGCUGCCAGAGCAUGAUUUCUAUUCUCAUCCUGAAGCAAAGUUCUUAACCUGAAGCACUAUUUCUGGGUUAGCGGAGUCUGUAACCUGAAGCGUAUGUAACCCGAGGUACCACUGUAAUGCCUCUGAAUACCAUUUUCUGGGAACUGCAGGCAGGGAGCGGCCACUGUGAGAUGAACCUUGGGUCACAUCCAUCUGGGAUCUUCUCAUGCUUUUAUGCCCUUGUGGUUGUCUAGUCUUUUGGGCUUUGUAUUUAUACAGGGGAGAACUGCUACCCUGUGCCAAAAUGGCAGCCUCCAUGUCCUGCUGGUGUAAGCUGCUUCAUUCAAGCCAGUGGUUUGGGGUUUGCUUAUCUAUUGGUUACAAGAGCCACCACAUUUUCUUCUUCUUCUCCUUCUUCUUCAUCAUCAUCAACGUUUUGUAUGAGUUUCGCAGAAAAUGCAGUAAAGAAUAAGCAAGGGACCACCCAGUGUAGCCACCAGGUGGAGACGAAGUGCAGUUAUUUAAUAUUGAAGCUAACUGCCUUUUAAUGUAAAAGUUUCCCAAUAUUUUUAAAGAAUAUUAUUGUGUAUAACUGGCGCCAUGUGACUGACAUGGGGCUGUCACAGAAAAUGUUGUGUUCCUCCUUCAUAACAUGCAGCUGUGCCAUAUUUACCCUGAUGCAAAAAGUGCAAAGCCCUAAAAUGUGGUGGGUAAGAAAAUGAAACCAUGGAAACCUUAAAUUGGAUUUUUUUCAUGAUACAGACAACCCCCCCACAAGCCCAGCUAGCUCCAGCACCCACCCUCAACCCCCCAUAACCUCCUUGCCCUCCACACACCCCUCAAACUCCAGCCCUCGCAGGCCUGCCUGCACCCUGCCAGCUACACCCUUCCCUACCAGUCCAGCACCCCAGGGCCUGCUCCUAGCCAGGGUCUCAUCCAGCUGCCAUCUUCUUUUCAGGCUUACUUUCUCCUUCUUGUUUUUAUUUGGCAUGGUCAGGCUGGAAAGUUGCAGCUUCCCAUGGCUGGGACAUUCGUCUCGCUUCUUCUCUUCCUGCUACUGCUACUGCUGCUACUCCAUCGGCUGGCUCUCUCCCAUCGACCUGGUGCAAGACUCAGUGCAAGACUCUCCCUCGGACCUGGCGCAAGAUUCCUCCAGCACAUCUUCUCUGACUCCUGGAAGUGGUGGCAAAGGAGGAGGAGGAGGAGGAAGAGGUAGCACAGUGACCUCAGUAGGCAAUUCUCUCUUCUCCCUACCUUCUCCAAGAGGAAGCCAUUUCUGGCUAGCGUACCUCAACAAAGAUGGG